Molecule: ribosomal RNA, 382 nt
Filed under: uncultured eukaryote
Lineage: Eukaryota
Description: partial 18S ribosomal RNA
Rfam family: Eukaryotic small subunit ribosomal RNA
Source: RNAcentral
CAAUAGCGUAUAUUGAAGUUGUUGCGGUUAAAAAGCUCGUCGUUGGAUUUCUGUUGAGGUCGAACAGUACCGCCCUAUGGGUGCGCAACUGGCUCGGCUUCGGCAUCUUCUUGGAGAGCGCAUCUGCACUUAACUGUGUGGAUCGUACUUCAAGUCAGUUACUUUGAGGAAUUGUGAGUGUUUCAAGCAGGCUUACGCCGUUGAAUCCGUUAGCAUGGAAUAAUAGGAUAGGACCUCGGUUCUAUUUUGUUGGUUUUGAGAGCUGGGGCAGCGAUUGAUAGGGACGGAUGGGGGCGUCCGAACUUUACUGUCAGAGGUGAAAUUCUUAGAUCGGUCAAAGGCGAACUACUGCGAACGCAUUCGCCAAGAAUGUUUUCUUUAA